UACUAGCGGUCCAAGUGGCAGCCAUGUUUAUUGGGUCUAAAACAUCCGUAGCUUGCCUUGUAAGUCUCUUGUGAAAUCUGGCAUCUUAAGUGUCAGGCGUGCAAGAGAUACUGCGAGGCUAGAGACCGGGAGACGUAAGGAGUACGGUUAGGGUAGCGGUAAAAUGCGUUGAUCCUUUCUGGACUAACGAUAGCGAAGGCGCCUUACGAGAACGGAUCUGACAGUGAGGGAUGAAGGCUAGGGGCGCAAAACGGAUUAGAUACCCCCGUA
This 270-nucleotide ribosomal RNA is filed under the name uncultured prokaryote. RNAcentral's name for it is "partial 16S ribosomal RNA". It matches the Rfam family "Archaeal small subunit ribosomal RNA", at positions 474 to 743 of the family's 1478-position model. The record is from RNAcentral.